This 1215-nucleotide ribosomal RNA is filed under the name Clostridioides difficile. Its description in RNAcentral is "bacterial LSU rRNA". It matches the Rfam family "Bacterial large subunit ribosomal RNA", at positions 662 to 1895 of the family's 2925-position model. Lineage: Bacteria; Bacillati; Bacillota; Clostridia; Peptostreptococcales; Peptostreptococcaceae. The record is from RNAcentral.
GGAGCCGUAGCGAAAGCGAGUUUUAACUGAGCGUUCAGUUACUUGACGUAGACCCGAAACCGGGCGACCUACCCAUGAGCAGGAUGAAGCGAAAGUAAAAUUUCGUGGAGGUCCGAACCCACGAGCGUUGAAAAGCUCGGGGAUGACUUGUGGGUAGCGGUGAAAUUCCAAUCGAGCCCGGAGAUAGCUGGUUCUCCCCGAAAUAGCUUUAGGGCUAGCCUCAAGGUGAGAGAUACGGAGGUAGAGCACUGAAUGUCCUAGGGGGUAUUGCACCUACCGAAGACUAUCAAACUCCGAAUGCCGUCAUCUUAUACUUGGGAGUCAGACUGUGGGUGAUAAGAUUCAUAGUCGAAAGGGCAACAGCCCAGAUCGUCAGCUAAGGUCCCUAAAUGUAAGUUAAGUGGUAAAGGAUGUGGGAUUGCACAGACAACCAGGAUGUUGGCUUAGAAGCAGCCACUCAUUCAAAGAGUGCGUAAUAGCUCACUGGUCGAGUGAUCCUGCGCCGAAGAUUUCCGGGGCUAAAACUUACUACCGAAGCUACGGCAUCAGUAAUGAUGGGUAGGGGAGCUUCCCAUACGGGUUGAAGCAUGACCGUAAGGACAUGUGGACAGUAUGGGAGUGAGAAUGUUGGCAUGAGUAGCGAGAUGUGGGGGAGAAUCCCACAGGCCGUAAACCCAAGGUUUCCAGGGGAAGGUUCGUCCGCCCUGGGUUAGUCGGGACCUAAGCUGAGGCCGAAAGGCGUAGGUGAUGGACAACAGGUUGAUAUUCCUGUACUACCGAUAACCGUUUGAGAGAAGGGAUGACACAGUAGGAUAAGCUAAGCACACUGUUGGUUAUGUGUGCCCAAGCAUUGAGGCAGUCAAAGUAGGCAAAUCCGCUUUGAUAAUGCUGGGAUGUGAUGGGGAGCGAAAUUUAGUAGCGAAGUAGCUGAUUUCACACUGUCAAGAAAAGUCUCUAUCGAGGUUAAAGGUACCCGUACCGCAAACCGACACAGGUGGGUGAGGAGAGUAUCCUAAGGCCAGCGAGAGAACUGUUGUUAAGGAACUCGGCAAAAUGACCCCGUAACUUAGGGAUAAGGGGUGCCACCAUCAGGUGGCCGCAGAGAAUAGGCCCAAGCGACUGUUUACCAAAAACAUAGGUUUCUGCUAAGUCGCAAGACGAUGUAUAGGAGCUGACGCCUGCCCGGUGCUGGAAGGUUAAGGGGAUCUGUUAGAG